Long non-coding RNA from Papaver somniferum (opium poppy), 2165 nucleotides. RefSeq lists it as uncharacterized. The record is from RefSeq and is a predicted model, not a curated record. NCBI's taxonomy places the organism in Eukaryota, Viridiplantae, Streptophyta, Magnoliopsida, Ranunculales, Papaveraceae. The transcript is spliced from 3 exons.
ACUAAACAAAAAAACAUGAACUUCCGGGAGGAAAAAAAAGAAAAGAGGAAAGAAAAACCUAAUCAUCUUUCGUUCAAAACUUAAGGUUUCUUCUUUUCCUAUACAGAUUUAGGUUUGUGGAUGAUUCAGGAAACCCUAAAACGAAUAUAACCUAAAACCAAACCUACAACCAACGCAACCAGCGGAAGAUUCAGCAAACCCUAACAAGAUAAGAGGCCUAUUGUCUUUCACUGAUUACAUAGCGCGUAAAUAGUUACCAUCUAACAGACUACAGCGAAGUAUUCUUAAACCUGUGCCAGAACAAAGGAUAGGCCAUGUGGAAAGAAGCCAAGCGGAAAUUGAUGCUGCUAUCAAUAUAGCAAAUGCUACUGAGCAUGAUACUAGCAUUAUGAAGCAGAUUAUGCGGAGUUGCCAGUGGAGGGGCUUUGCUUAGUCAAUAAAUAUAUACGAACAAUUUGCUUCCUCACUCUGGGUACCUUUAUCUUCUUUACAUUUUCUGUUUUUGUUUCGUAAGGUAUUUAAUGGAAACAUUCUAGAUUCUUCAAAUUAGAAGAACCCAUUAACUGUUUUCUCUUGGUUUGUACUUUGUGUUCUUCAGAAACAAAUUACGGACUCGCCGUAAUUACAGUUUCAGAUAAGCCUAGAAAAGAAGAAGGCUGGUGGUGUUGGUGGUCUUAAGUUGCAGUUGAAAGUUUAACUGUAGCUGACCAGCUAUACUCAACAGAGCUACUAGAGUUUGAUUCCCUGGAAGAUUUACCAUCAAUGUUGGACAUACUAAAGUUUUUUGAUUUUGGUCUACUUCACUUGGGCAUGCAGAGAUCUAUAUUCGGAAGCAUACAUCCUCAUUACUAGCUGGCAUUUGGGUGACGCGUAAGGAAAAGUUUGCAACAUGGAGUUGAAAGCAUAAAGAAUAUUUAGCAAAGAAAGAGAAGGAAGUGGUAAGAAGGUAAGAACUUUGCAUCAUAAAUCUUGGCUUAAACAUUUCUUAACGAUUCACUUGCGCAGUACUCAUAUAGUUGUUGAGCUGUUGGUUAUUAUUUAAUAGUUCACACCCUUGAAUAUUGGUCAAUGAUUUUUCCUUAGACUGUCUCAUCAGAGUUAGCCCUUGGAAGUUGUUUGGUUUGCCACCAGAAUAAUUUCUUAUCACUGACUUUGCGUGCUCCCUGAAGAGAAAGAUGCCUUUGUAGGUGCAAAUCAUACCUCUGUCGAAACAUCCCUUCGUAAACAUUUUUUUCUAGGCCUAUUAAAUGUCGUUAGGAUGACUGAUCCUCAUAUUACAUUCUAAGAUAGGCUGACUUGCAUCACUGAGAAAAUUGAUUAACGAGUAUUGGUAGUUUACUUUAGUAGCAUCACUGAGAGCUCUAUCAGUUUUUGUUUGACUUGCAUGGUUUAUAAUAUGAAGAUAGGCUGCGUAGAUUUUAAUCUGAUGUUUCUCUUCUACUUUUUAGAUGACUAACUAUAUAUUAGACCACCUUACAUUUGAGUACAAAGUAUUGAUAUCAAACCACUGCAAGGGUAAUGGCAUGGAUGACAUGGCUUACCCGCUUCUAUGAAGUGUCUCCUGAAAAUAUAAUCCAAUAAAAAAUUGGUUAUGAUUUGUGUUCACUUGGAAUUAUAACAGUUUACAUUUUUAUCUCCACCAUUCAUUUACACCGCGAUUUUUACUUAUUUUGAUUCUAGAGGUCGAGAUUCUGUUUCAUCUCGAGCAUGUCCUCUAUGCAAAUUUGCAUACUUGGUGAUCACAAGACAUUCAACUCCAUCAUACAUGUUAUAUCUAAUCUGAUACUUGUUCUAUUGAAUUUUUUGAUGUCGGGCCUUGCCUUAGUGGUGUUAGUUAAUUCACUCAUUCUAUGGGUAUCGGCAUGUAUAUCAUUUCACUGAUUCGACAAUUGGUUUGGUUUUGUGUUUUUUGAAUUCAUGUUCACCGUAAUAACCACCUUAUUUAUGGAUGUUUUGUGGCUCACAUUUUCAAGUUUAUGCUGGUGAGCCCAGGGUUGAAGAAUUGUAAGUAGCUCACAAAUUAUUAUGUAUCGGAUUAGCUAGGCUCUCAAAAAUGUAAGCAGUCUACACAAUGUCCUGUUUAUUUUGCUUCAGAAUUACUAAUCUGUACGGAUUAUUAAAUGUCAUUGUUUGCAUCCCUGCUAAAUAUUAUUGACAACCUGGUA